GAUUUGGCCUUGAUUUAUGUACCAUGAUGAAGCAAAUGAUUAGCACCUAAUCUGACUACUCAGGCGUCAGCUGAUCGUGUCGUGUCGUGUGUAAGCGCCUUUACACUAGCAGUGUGAAUGACCUUAUUUAUUUAAUAAU
Molecule: long non-coding RNA, 139 nt
Organism: Maniola jurtina (meadow brown)
Lineage: Eukaryota; Metazoa; Arthropoda; Insecta; Lepidoptera; Nymphalidae
Exons: 3
Source: RefSeq, a predicted model, not a curated record